CAGAACUUGAAUUUGGAUCCUCCGAGGCUCGGGUCUUGACGAACUUGAUGAGGUCACUAAAAUGCUCUAGUAGCAGCUCUUCCUGCAAGUAGAGGACAGUUGAGAAAAGCUGCUAGUGAAAUCCAAGCAUGAAGGCUAAAGCAGAAAAGACGUAACUGAUUUCAAGGAUUAUCUCCAACAAGGCACAUGUCCCAGGACUGAUCCCAAAGCCUCCCACAAUAUUACACAUUGAAUUUAAAUUCCAACCAAAGUAAUCUUCCUACAGGAAUUUGAUUGCUUCCAAGACUUCACUCAUGCUACUCUUUUUUUUUUUCCUUUAUUUUGUUUAAAUAGGUGGAUGAGUGGCCAUACUAG
This 354-nucleotide unclassified non-coding RNA is filed under the name Hevea brasiliensis (rubber tree). Lineage: Eukaryota; Viridiplantae; Streptophyta; Magnoliopsida; Malpighiales; Euphorbiaceae. The record is from RNAcentral.